GCCGGGGUGGCUCAGCUGGAGGAGCGCCGGACUCAUAAGUUAAACUGAGAAAUCCGGAGGUCUCGGGUUCGAUCCCCGAUCCCGGCA
This 87-nucleotide transfer RNA is filed under the name Thermoplasma acidophilum. It matches the Rfam family "tRNA". From Rfam's summary of the family: Transfer RNA (tRNA) molecules are approximately 80 nucleotides in length. Their secondary structure includes four short double-helical elements and three loops (D, anti-codon, and T loops). Further hydrogen bonds mediate the characteristic L-shaped molecular structure. tRNAs have two regions of fundamental functional importance: the anti-codon, which is responsible for specific mRNA codon recognition, and the 3' end, to which the tRNAs corresponding amino acid is attached (by aminoacyl-tRNA synthetases). tRNAs cope with the degeneracy of the genetic code in two manners: having more than one tRNA (with a specific anti-codon) for a particular amino acid; and 'wobble' base-pairing, i.e. permitting non-standard base-pairing at the 3rd anti-codon position. Lineage: Archaea; Methanobacteriati; Thermoplasmatota; Thermoplasmata; Thermoplasmatales; Thermoplasmataceae. RNAcentral also lists the same sequence under 1 other name. The record is from RNAcentral.